UGGGGAAUUUUGGACAAUGGGGGAAACCCUGAUCCAGCCAUGCCGCGUGAGUGAAGAAGGCCUUCGGGUUGUAAAGCUCUUUCAUCCGGAACGAAACGGUCACGGUUAAUACCUGUGACUACUGACGGUACCGGAAGAAGAAGCACCGGCUAACUACGUG
Molecule: ribosomal RNA, 160 nt
Filed under: bacterium enrichment culture DGGE band AuD11
Lineage: Bacteria
Description: partial 16S ribosomal RNA
Rfam family: Bacterial small subunit ribosomal RNA
Source: RNAcentral